UCUGAGAUGUAACAAUUAGUUUUAGGAAGUGCCUACUUCUGUGAGCAAAUAAUCAAUUACCUGUCAUAGCAGCCACUCUUUCCUGAAACUGCCUUCCAACCAGGUGUGCAGUUUCUGAAAUUCUACCAAUGGCUUUACUUCCUCCAGGUGUCUUCUGGAGGAGUAAGGAACCGUGACCAGACAGACACAAAUACAUAUGGCCAUUAGUAAUAUCAUUACCAAGCUAACUACAGGAAUCCAGGGCAGUAUGCAGGCAUAAGAGGUCCAGGAAGAGCAGAACAGAAGACAGUUGUGUGGAGAGCAAGUGAAGAGAGGCACUGAAGACAAACUCUCCCAUCCUUCUGACUUUACCUGGUCCCAGUCCUGGGUGAGCAACUCACAUAACCUUAGGCUUUGAGAUGGUUUGGCCUAUCAUGGGCCCUGAGAGAAUAUUGGACAAAAAUGUUGUUCUUUAGAGUUUAUGGAGAAAGAAACAGAAACAGGAUUUGGUUAUUAUUUUGAAGUGGGCAGAAAAACUGAGGAGCAACCUAACUGCACCAUUCAAUAGAUUAUAAUGCAAACAAGGACCAGAAAUGGCUACUGUCAGAAGUGAGUGAGAAACAAAGCCUGGGGAAAGGAUGUAGGAUCACAGGAGGUGGAACUGAUGGGAUUAAUAAGAAACCAGGCAUGAGAAGCCAUGCAGAUGUAAAUUUGGAAAUCAACAUAUUGAUAGUUGGAGUCACUGGAGUAGAGAUGGGGUUUCACCAAGAAGCAAUUUUGAAGAAUGAUGGUGCCAAUGUCAGCAUGAUG
Molecule: long non-coding RNA, 789 nt
Filed under: Homo sapiens (human)
Lineage: Eukaryota; Metazoa; Chordata; Mammalia; Primates; Hominidae
Description: HSALNT0377478
Source: RNAcentral